This is a long non-coding RNA of Bombus terrestris (buff-tailed bumblebee), 2702 nucleotides long. RefSeq lists it as uncharacterized. The record is from RefSeq and is a predicted model, not a curated record. The transcript is spliced from 2 exons. NCBI's taxonomy places the organism in Eukaryota, Metazoa, Arthropoda, Insecta, Hymenoptera, Apidae.
CGUAAACACCGGCCGGUUAUUAGGAGCCGGAAGUUUAAGGGGAGUUCGCUAAAUUGGUAUGCCGAUGGUUCCCGGAUGGAUGUUCCGGUUGUUAGAAGCGGGCAGAACUUCGAAUAAACUUUCGCCUCGUAAUAGAGCAACUUUCGGCUGGAUUUCUUUUUCGGCGGGCAAAACUUAGUUUCGUACGUUGAUGGAUUGGUGACUUUAACAGACGUGAUAGAAACGUUGGCGUGAUAGAUUGACGCGUUGGUAGGUGGUAUUAGUGCUUCUUAACUGUUACGAGCAACUGGUACGGCAGACGCGGAGAAAAAUUGCCGCAGUUAGUUCAAAGAUAUUCAUUCCGUUAAGCGGACGUGUUUGUCAUUCGAAGUGAUUUUCAUGGCAAGUGCAUGGGAACUGUAUAUAGCGUUCUGAUUCCAGCUGGUUAAUCGUAUCGUUAGAAUCCUCAACUUCGUUGUAGGAAAACCAUAUUCGUUUUAUAAAUUUAACGCUCUAUCGAAUUUAUUUUCAAUUCCACCUCGGAAUGAAGAAGAAUAUGUAAAGAUUGCACGAGUAUUAUUACGUCGAAUACGGUAAAACCAACAAGAAUGAAGAAAUUGACGGAAAAUUGAACAAACGAUUAAACACCAAAGGACACAUUGUAUGUCGGCGGAUCAGUGGAAUGCAAAUUCCCUAGGAACACUGAUAAAACAUAAUGCAAUUGUAUAGAGGGCGGUGUGCAAGCCGAAAUCAACGUAAAUUGUUUGAGGAUAUCAACGCACCAAUUGUAGCUGGUUCGUGGCUCAUGAUCGAUCCGCGGUAUUGACUAUUGGCGCAACUGGUAACUAGCCAAUCUGCUGCGUCGGUCAGACAUCUGAUUACGAACAGUAAUUAGCGGUGGAUCGGUAUACCUGUGUUGACUGUCACUGUACGAGUAAACUUUGUUCCCUCCCCCACCCUCCUUCCCCGUAACGCAUAAAUACGAACGACGCGAUCGAACUUUAGAAACGCGAAGCUUUCGUUCCCGUUUCCACGUAUAGGGUGGACCGAAAAUCCUGCUACAAGCCGUGAAGUGAUUAUUCAUGAAAAAGUAAGUGAAAAGCGUAGAACAAGAAUUUUUGAUACGAGACUUCGUUUUCGAGAAAAUCGACGAUGAAGUUUAGUCGGGUGCGUGUGCGCUUGAAACGUAAGAGCGCCAAGCGCAUGAAACUUGAUAGUUGAUUUUCUCGAGAACGAAGCGUCGUAUUGAAAAUUGUUGUUCUACGUUUUCGAUCUACUUUUGCGCGGAGAAUCACCAUCCUUCGGUUUGUACCACGAUUUUCAGUGCACCCAGUACAUCGCCGACCGUCGAUACGACGACGAGCGCGAACGUGAUUAACGUAGCGAAAUUCCAACAUGGAAAUCGUGUGUUUUAAACAUUCGUGCGUACGAGCGAUCGUAAAGAUGACAGCGAUUUGCCGACUACGUGGAAACGCUCUCGUCAAUUUAUUCGUUUCACGUUCUUCCGCGAUCCAGGUAUUUCACGGUUCUAACCUAUAAUAUAAUUCAAGUCAUUUCUCUUAAUUGGAGGUUAAGCGAUAUCGACGAGGCCAAGGGGUUUCAGUUUCCCGCGAAUUCUUCGUUGUAUCUUUCCACGUUGCCAGCCGGAAUGAAUUGACUUUUUUACGAGCCCAAAGCCGUUUACGUUCGAAUCCGAUUGGAAUUUACAUUUUCGAUCUCUCGAAGGCUUAUCGUAAAACGACUUUGAAACAUGAAAAUGAUUUCGGCGGUGCUCUUCGAGAAAAGUAGCUUCUCUCGUCUAAAGGGAAUACCUGACUUGUUAUCGAUAAGUUGUUAACGGACAUUUAUGCAAAUUCACGUAUUUAUAAAAUAAUGGAGCAACGGUACCUAAGCAAAAAUUUCUUUUGUUUACCAAAUAUUACAAUCGGUGAUAAAUUUUGCAUAUUUUAUAUAUUUGCACGUAUUACGCGCGUUUCGUGCGUCUUCGAAUUUUGAAACUUUUCAUAGACGCAAAAUUGAACGUCCCUCGUUGGGAGAACAGAAUUUCUCUUUUCGAAUCUUCGCCAAUUUUUCGCGCGACAGCGUCCAAUUGGCGCGCACGCGCGUUACGUCAUCGUUAAUCCGGCGGCAGAUUUUUUAACCCAUUUUCUCUCCGCUUUCCCGUUUCCCUCGGCAACGUUGUACCAACUGGAAUUGAGAAAUAACGAUCUCGACGGUUGUAUGCAAAUAUCGGAAAAUAAAGUGCAUUUCGUACUCGUAACCGGUUCCAAGCGCGAAGCUUAUAUGGAACGGCGGAAACAUUAUCGUAUCGCGAUUUUUCUCCAUCGAGAAAAGUACGCGAUAGUUUGCAACGGCGAUAUUAAUAAUAAACGUUAUUGAAUGUAAAAUGAACGAUAUAGUUCACGAGCGAAAUAGAUUGUUAUCGGUUAUUCAGACUACGAUGAAUAUUAUGAAUUUCAGGGAAUUUUAAGCUCUUUAUCUUUUUCGCCUAUCGGUAGAAGACAGUACGCGCAUACGCAAUGAAGCCAAUUAUACGCACAUUUUAAAACGCUUAACCUGUUAACGAACGGGUAGAACGAGUUAAUUUGUGUUAUUUGGCUUGUUAAAUAUCGCGAAAUUGAUAAUUUGUUUAUCCAACGAUUGGCUGUUUUUAAUACCCCAUUACGUUUCUACUGUGUGUACAUUACACGUAUCAUAUUAUUAAUAAAUCGUAUUAAUUCAUU